Molecule: ribosomal RNA, 1489 nt
Filed under: uncultured bacterium
Lineage: Bacteria
Description: bacterial SSU rRNA
Rfam family: Bacterial small subunit ribosomal RNA
Source: RNAcentral
GAGUUUGAUCAUGGCUCAGGAUGAACGCUAGCGACAGGCCUAACACAUGCAAGUCGAGGGGCAGCACAAGAUAGCUUGCUAUUGAGGUGGCGACCGGCGCACGGGUGAGUAACGCGUAUGCAACCUGCCUGUAAGAGUGGGAUAGCCUCUCGAAAGAGAGAUUAAUACCGCAUAAUACUUUUGAUCUGCAUAGGUCGAAAGUUAAACAUUUAUGGCUUACAGAUGGGCAUGCGUAACAUUAGCUAGUUGGUAAGGUAACGGCUUACCAAGGCGACGAUGUUUAGGGGUUCUGAGAGGAAGGUCCCCCACACUGGUACUGAGACACGGACCAGACUCCUACGGGAGGCAGCAGUGAGGAAUAUUGGUCAAUGGACGCAAGUCUGAACCAGCCAAGUCGCGUGAAGGAUGAAGGUCUUAUGGAUUGUAAACUUCUUUUAUAUGGGAAUAAAAAAUGUCACGUGUGAUAUAUUGCAUGUACCAUAUGAAUAAGGAUCGGCUAACUCCGUGCCAGCAGCCGCGGUAAUACGGAGGAUCCGAGCGUUAUCCGGAUUUAUUGGGUUUAAAGGGUGCGUAGGCGGUCUCUUAAGUCAGCGUUGAAAGUUUUCGGCUCAACCGGAAAAUUGGCAUUGAAACUGGGAGACUUGAGUGUAAAUGAAGUUGGCGGAAUUCGUUGUGUAGCGGUGAAAUGCAUAGAUAUAACGAAGAACUCCGAUUGCGAAGGCAGCUGACUAACAUACAACUGACGCUGAUGCACGAAAGCGUGGGGAUCAAACAGGAUUAGAUACCCUGGUAGUCCACGCAGUAAACGAUGUAUACUAACUGUUGGCGAUAUACAGUCAGUGGUAAAGCGAAAGCGUUAAGUAUUCCACCUGGGGAGUACGCCGGCAACGGUGAAACUCAAAGGAAUUGACGGGGGCCCGCACAAGCGGAGGAACAUGUGGUUUAAUUCGAUGAUACGCGAGGAACCUUACCCGGGCUUGAACGUAGGGAGACAGGAGGGGAAACCCUUUCUCUAGCAAUAGCUGCCUACGAGGUGCUGCAUGGUUGUCGUCAGCUCGUGCCGUGAGGUGUCGGCUUAAGUGCCAUAACGAGCGCAACCCACGUCUUUAGUUGCCAUCAGGUAGGGCUGGGCACUCUGAAGAAACUGCCAGCGUAAGCUGCGAGGAAGGUGUGGAUGACGUCAAAUCAGCACGGCCCUUACGUCCGGGGCGACACACGUGUUACAAUGGUCGGUACAAAGGGUUGCUACCUGGUGACAGGAUGCUAAUCUCUAAAACCGGUCUCAGUUCGGAUCGAAGUCUGCAACUCGACUUCGUGAAGCUGGAUUCGCUAGUAAUCGCGCAUCAGCCAUGGCGCGGUGAAUACGUUCCCGGGCCUUGUACACACCGCCCGUCAAGCCAUGGAAGCUGGGGGUACCUGAAGUAUGCAACCGCAAGGAGCGUCCUAGGGUAAAACUAGUAACUGGGGCUAAGUCGUAACAAGGUAACCG